RNAcentral lists this ribosomal RNA (857 nucleotides) under uncultured archaeon. Its description in RNAcentral is "bacterial SSU rRNA". It matches the Rfam family "Archaeal small subunit ribosomal RNA", at positions 4 to 838 of the family's 1478-position model. The record is from RNAcentral.
UCGGUUGAUCCUGCGGACCCUACUGCUAUCGGGAUGGGACUAAGACAUGCUAGUCGUGCGUCUCCAAGCCACGGCGGAGACGCGGCACACAGCUCAGUAACACGUGGCCAACCUACCCUUAGGACGGAAACAUCCCCGGGAAACUGGGGUCAAUUUCCGAUAGGUGAAGACUCCUGGAAUGGAUUUUCGUCAAAAAGACGUUUAGACCAUGCUUCUAGGCGUUGCCUAAGGAUGGGGCCGCGGCCGAUCAGGCUGUUGGUGAGGUAAUGGCUCACCAAACCUUUAACCGGUACGGGCCGUGAGAGCGGGAGCCCGGAGAUGGGCACUGAGACAAGGGCCCAGGUCCUACGGGGCGCAGCAGUUACGAAAAUUUCGCAAUACGCGAAAGCGUGACGGAGCCAUCCCGAGUGCCAUCCGCUGAGGAUGGCUUUUCCCCAGUGUAGAUAGCUGGGGGAAUAAGGAGAGGGCAAGUCUGGUGUCAGCCGCCGCGGUAAUACCAGCUCUUCGAGUGGUAGGGAUGUUUAUUGGGCCUGAAGCAUCCGUAGCCGGCUGGGAAAGUUUCCCGUUAAAUCCAGCGAUUCAAUCGUUGGAUUGCGGGGAAUACUUCUCGGCUAGGGGGUGAGAGAAACCAACGGUAUUCUCGGGGUAGGGGUGAAAUCCUAUAAUCCCGGGAGGACCACCAGUGGCGAAGGCUGUUGNCUAGAACAUGCCCGACGGUGAGGGAUGAAAGCUGGGGGAGCGAACCGGAUUAGAUACCCGGGUAGUCCCAGCUGUAAACGAUGCAGNNUAGGUGUUAGAGCGGCACGUGCCGCCCUAGUGCCGCAGGGANGCUGUUAAGCCUGNCGCCUGGGGAGUAC